RNAcentral lists this ribosomal RNA (253 nucleotides) under uncultured bacterium. RNAcentral describes it as "partial 16S ribosomal RNA". It matches the Rfam family "Bacterial small subunit ribosomal RNA", at positions 524 to 776 of the family's 1533-position model. The record is from RNAcentral.
UACAGAGGUCUCAAGCGUUGUUCGGAUUCAUUGGGCGUAAAGGGUGCGUAGGCGGCGCGGUAAGUCGGGUGUGAAAUCUUGGAGCUUAACUCCGAAACUGCAUUCGAUACUGCCGUGCUUGAGGACUGGAGAGGAGACUGGAAUUUACGGUGUAGCGGUGAAAUGCAUAGAUAUCGUAAGGAAGACCAGUGGCGAAGGCGGGUCUCUGGACAGUUCCUGACACUGAGGCACGAAGGCCAGGGGAGCAAACGGG